Non-coding RNA from Schistosoma curassoni, 45 nucleotides. NCBI's taxonomy places the organism in Eukaryota, Metazoa, Platyhelminthes, Trematoda, Strigeidida, Schistosomatidae. The record is from Rfam.
AUUCAGCUGACGAGUCUCAAGUAUGACGAAACGCGCGUCCUAGAU